AUCCAGCUGACGAGUCCCAAAUAGGGCGAAAAACGAGUCCUAGGU
Molecule: non-coding RNA, 45 nt
Filed under: Schistosoma margrebowiei
Lineage: Eukaryota; Metazoa; Platyhelminthes; Trematoda; Strigeidida; Schistosomatidae
Source: RNAcentral